CGUAGGCGGUCUGUCGCGUCGGCUGUGAAAACCCGAGGCUCAACCUCGGGCCUGCAGUCGAUACGGGCAAACUAGAGUACUGCAGGGGAGACUGGAAUUCCUGGUGUAGCGGUGAAAUGCGCAGAUAUCAGGAGGAACACCGGUGGCGAAGGCGGGUCUCUGGGCAGUAACUGACGCUGAGGAGCGAAAGCGUGGGGAGCGA
RNAcentral lists this ribosomal RNA (202 nucleotides) under Synchroma pusillum. Its description in RNAcentral is "partial Bacterial small subunit ribosomal RNA". It matches the Rfam family "Bacterial small subunit ribosomal RNA", at positions 570 to 771 of the family's 1533-position model. The record is from RNAcentral. Lineage: Eukaryota; Synchromophyceae; Synchromales; Synchromaceae.